AAAGAUUUCAGUUUCCGACCAA
Molecule: non-coding RNA, 22 nt
Filed under: Arabidopsis thaliana (thale cress)
Lineage: Eukaryota; Viridiplantae; Streptophyta; Magnoliopsida; Brassicales; Brassicaceae
Source: RNAcentral